Molecule: unclassified non-coding RNA, 325 nt
Filed under: Hevea brasiliensis (rubber tree)
Lineage: Eukaryota; Viridiplantae; Streptophyta; Magnoliopsida; Malpighiales; Euphorbiaceae
Source: RNAcentral
AAUAGAACCUUGAACUUUAUUCACUGAAAUUUAUGUAACCACGAAAUCACAAUAUAUAGUUAACAUAUGUAACCAUAUGGAACAAAGUUCAAGGUUCUAUUCAAAGAUAAGGUGGCAAAACUGCUAAUUAUCAACAUAAACACGUAGUUAACAUUUUCUAUCCCAUCGGCUAAGGGAGAAAAAAAAAAAAAAAAAAAUUUCAUCCCAUACAUUCUUAUCAUCAAGUUGUUCUAAGGCCAUAUGCAUCAAUAUCCACUAGAAGCAUAUAUUUUACCACCAAAAGUGCAUUUGAGAAACACCUCUUUAGAUUGGAAACGAAUCAUUU